Molecule: ribosomal RNA, 463 nt
Filed under: uncultured bacterium
Lineage: Bacteria
Description: bacterial SSU rRNA
Rfam family: Bacterial small subunit ribosomal RNA
Source: RNAcentral
UGGAGGCAGCAGUGAGGAAUAUUGCGCAAUGGGGGAAACCCUGACGCAGCGAUGCCGCGUGAGUGAAGAAGGCCUUCGGGUCGUAAAGCUCUGUCAAACGGGAAGAAUAGCUUCGGGGCUAAUAUCCUCGAGGUGUGACGGUACCGUUGAAGGAAGCACCGGCUAACUCCGUGCCAGCAGCCGCGGUAAGACGGAGGGUGCGAGCGUUAUACGGAUUUAUUGGGCGUAAAGAGCAUGUAGGCGGUCGGUCAAGUCUGAUGUGAAAGCCCGGGGCUUAACCUCGGAAGGGCGUUGGAUACUGGUCGACUUGAGUUCGGGAGAGGGAAGCGGAAUUCCGGGUGUAGAGGUGAAAUUCGUAGAUAUCCGGAGGAACACCGGUGGCGAAGGCGGCUUCCUGGACCGAAACUGACGCUGAGAUGCGAAAGCGUGGGGAGCAAACAGGAUUAGAAACCCUGGUAGUCCG